This 283-nucleotide transfer RNA is filed under the name Cyathula hildebrandtii. RNAcentral's name for it is "Sericocomopsis hildebrandtii transfer RNA". Lineage: Eukaryota; Viridiplantae; Streptophyta; Magnoliopsida; Caryophyllales; Amaranthaceae. The record is from RNAcentral.
GGGGAUAUGGCGAAAUCGGUAGACGCUACGGACUUUAUUAUUAUGAAUAUGAAAAAAUGGAAGAAUUUUUACGAAUCAAUUUCAAGUUGAAAAAAGAAUCAAAUAUUCAUUCAUCAAAUCAUUCACUCCAUAGUCUGAUAGAUCUUUUGAAGAGCUGAUUAAUCGGACGAGAAUAAAGAUAGAGUCCCAUUCUACAUGUCAAUACUGACAACAAUGAAAUUUUUAGUAAGAGGAAAAUCCGUCGACUUUCAAAAUCGUGAGGGUUCAAGUCCCUCUAUCCCCA